Molecule: ribosomal RNA, 450 nt
Filed under: uncultured bacterium
Lineage: Bacteria
Description: bacterial SSU rRNA
Rfam family: Bacterial small subunit ribosomal RNA
Source: RNAcentral
GUAGGGAAUCUUCCGCAAUGGACGAAAGUCUGACGGAGCAACGCCGCGUGAGCGAUGAAGGCCUUCGGGUCGUAAAGCUCUGUUGUCAGGGAAGAACAAGUACCGGAGUAACUGCCGGUACCUUGACGGUACCUGACCAGAAAGCCACGGCUAACUACGUGCCAGCAGCCGCGGUAAUACGUAGGUGGCAAGCGUUGUCCGGAAUUAUUGGGCGUAAAGCGCGCGCAGGCGGUUCCUUAAGUCUGAUGUGAAAGCCCCCGGCUCAACCGGGGAGGGUCAUUGGAAACUGGGGAACUUGAGUGCAGAAGAGGAGAGCGGAAUUCCACGUGUAGCGGUGAAAUGCGUAGAGAUGUGGAGGAACACCAGUGGCGAAGGCGGCUCUCUGGUCUGUAACUGACGCUGAGGCGCGAAAGCGUGGGGAGCGAACAGGAUUAGAUACCCGUGUAGUCC